UCAGAUGGAGAUGAAGUAGCAGCGGCAGUCGAGCAACAGAGAGACAACAGCGUCUGAACCGCGGAUCCGGAGCUUUUUCUUCAGGGGGGGAACAGACAGGUGACAGAGCAAACCGAGCCGCCUCAACGCCCAUCGGUGGAAAUUACUGCUGUUUCAAGCCCCGCACACACCCCCAGGUUGCCUCAGUAGAUGUUACUCAGCUGCAUGCAUUUCGAUCUGAUCAUCUAAGCCCGGUCCACCAAGAUGGAAAAUGCGCACACUAAAUCGGCGACUGAAGUUUUAGACAACUUCAGUGUGAACGAAAACACCGGGCUGACUCUGGAGCAGGUCAAAGUCAGUUUGGAGAAAUAUGGGCCGAACGAGCUCCCGGCUGAAGAAGGCAAGUCCCUGUGGGAGCUGGUGGUGGAGCAAUUUGAAGACCUCCUGGUCCGGAUCCUGCUGCUGGCUGCCUGCGUCUCCUUUGU
Molecule: long non-coding RNA, 464 nt
Organism: Stegastes partitus (bicolor damselfish)
Lineage: Eukaryota; Metazoa; Chordata; Actinopteri; Pomacentridae
Exons: 3
Source: RefSeq, a predicted model, not a curated record